AAUUGACGGGGGCCCGCACAAGCGGUGGAGCAUGUGGUUUAAUUCGAUGCAACGCGAAGAACCUUACCUACUCUUGACAUCCUGCGAACUUGUGAGAGAUCACUUGGUGCCUUCGGGAGCGCAGAGACAGGUGCUGCAUGGCUGUCGUCAGCUCGUGUUGUGAAAUGUUGGGUUAAGUCCCGUAACGAGCGCAACCCUUGUCCUUAUUUGCCAGCGGGUAAUGCCGGGAACUUUAAGGAGACUGCCGGUGACAAACCGGAGGAAGGUGGGGACGACGUCAAGUCAUCAUGGCCCUUACGAGUAGGGCUACACACGUGCUACAAUGGCCGGUACAAAGGGUUGCGAGCUCGCGAGAGUCAGCUAAUCCCGAAAAGCCGGUCUCAGUCCGGAUCGGAGUUUGCAACUCGACUCCGUGAAGUCGGAAUCGCUAGUAAUCGUGAAUCAGAAUGUCACGGUGAAUACGUUCCCGGGCCUUGUACACACCGCCCGU
Molecule: ribosomal RNA, 490 nt
Filed under: uncultured bacterium
Lineage: Bacteria
Description: bacterial SSU rRNA
Rfam family: Bacterial small subunit ribosomal RNA
Source: RNAcentral